UACGGAGGUGGCAAGCGUUGUUCGGAAUUACUGGGCGUAAAGCGCGCGUAGGCGGACCUGCAAGUCGGGGGUGAAAGCCCGAGGCUCAACCUCGGAACUGCCUUCGAUACUGCGGGUCUCGAGUCCGGGAGAGGUGAGUGGAAUUCCUAGUGUAGAGGUGAAAUUCGUAGAUAUUAGGAAGAACACCAGUGGCGAAGGCGGCUCACUGGCCCGGUACUGACGCUGAGGCGCGAAAGCGUGGGGAGCAAACAGG
This 253-nucleotide ribosomal RNA is filed under the name uncultured bacterium. Its description in RNAcentral is "partial 16S ribosomal RNA". It matches the Rfam family "Bacterial small subunit ribosomal RNA", at positions 524 to 776 of the family's 1533-position model. The record is from RNAcentral.